AAAUCGCAGUGUUCCUCCUCUCUGGCUGACUGCAGGUCCUGUUACCUGCUCCUGUCACCGCCUUUGUGACUCUCCCAUGCUGUUCUCUGAGGACCUCCUCCUUCCUUCGAUUGUAUCUCCAGGCAUGUCCUGUCUGUCUGUCCCUGUGUUGUGUUGUGUUGUGUGUGUGUGUUUGUGUGUGAGUGAGUGUGUGUGUUUGUAUGUGAGUGUUUGUGUGUGUGAGUGUGUGUGUUUGUAUGUGAGUGUUUGUGUGUGUGAGAGUGUGUUUUUGUAUGUGAGUGUUUGUGUGUGUGUGUGUGUGUGUGUGUGUGAGUGCGUGUGUGUCCCGCCCAUGCUUCUCCAGCCUUUCGUUUACACACCUAUACCUGUCUUGUGAGCAGGA
Molecule: long non-coding RNA, 382 nt
Filed under: Rattus norvegicus (Norway rat)
Lineage: Eukaryota; Metazoa; Chordata; Mammalia; Rodentia; Muridae
Description: long non-coding RNA NONRATT019974
Source: RNAcentral